RNAcentral lists this ribosomal RNA (561 nucleotides) under uncultured bacterium. RNAcentral describes it as "partial 16S ribosomal RNA". It matches the Rfam family "Bacterial small subunit ribosomal RNA", at positions 355 to 926 of the family's 1533-position model. The record is from RNAcentral.
UGGGGAAUAUUGCACAAUGGGCGAAAGCCUGAUGCAGCGACGCCGCGUGAGGGAUGACGGCCUUCGGGUUGUAAACCUCUUUCAGCAGGGAAGAAGCGAAAGUGACGGUACCUGCAGAAGAAGCGCCGGCUAACUACGUGCCAGCAGCCGCGGUAAUACGUAGGGCGCAAGCGUUGUCCGGAAUUAUUGGGCGUAAAGAGCUCGUAGGCGGUUAGUCGCGUCUGCUGUGAAAACUCGAGGCUCAACCUCGGGCUUGCAGUGGGUACGGGCUGACUAGAGUGCGGUAGGGGUGACUGGAAUUCCUGGUGUAGCGGUGGAAUGCGCAGAUAUCAGGAGGAACACCGAUGGCGAAGGCAGGUCACUGGGCCGCAACUGACGCUGAGGAGCGAAAGCAUGGGGAGCGAACAGGAUUAGAUACCCUGGUAGUCCAUGCCGUAAACGUUGGGCACUAGGUGUGGGGUCCAUUCCACGGAUUCCGUGCCGCAGCAAACGCAUUAAGUGCCCCGCCUGGGGAGUACGGCCGCAAGGCUAAAACUUAAAUGAAUUGACGGGGUCAUAGCU